RNAcentral lists this unclassified non-coding RNA (290 nucleotides) under uncultured fungus. RNAcentral's name for it is "sequence contains ITS2". The record is from RNAcentral. Lineage: Eukaryota; Fungi.
AACGCAUAUUGCACUCUUUGGUAUUCCGAAGAGUAUGCCUGUUUCAGUAUCAUGAAAUUCUCAUCUCCCUCAAACUUUUUGUUUUGUGAUGAUGGAUCUGGGCUUGCAAGCUUUCAGUUUGCUCGCUUCAAAUGAAUUUCUUGAUGCAGACUUGCUUCGAAUCGGCUUAAUAGUUUUGGUCUUUUGAUCAAAUCUUUAGCUCUUUCAACGCAUACCACUGCUCAUGAUUUUUACGAUAAAACUUCUAAAAAUUUGAUCUGAAAUCAGGUAGGACUACCCGCUGAACUUAA